This 269-nucleotide ribosomal RNA is filed under the name uncultured microorganism. Its description in RNAcentral is "partial 16S ribosomal RNA". It matches the Rfam family "Archaeal small subunit ribosomal RNA", at positions 330 to 599 of the family's 1478-position model. The record is from RNAcentral.
GUGCAGCAGGCGAGAAACCUCCGCAAUGCUCGAAAGAGCGACGGGGGACUCCAAGUGCCUACGCUCAGCGUAGGCUGUUCCCGAGCCUAAAAGCUCGGGGAGUAAGGGCUGGGUAAGACGGGUGCCAGCCGCCGCGGUAAUACCCGCGAGCCCGAGUGGUGGCCGCUAUUAUUGGGCCUAAAGCGUCCGUAGCCGGCUCGGUAAAUGCCUGGGUAAAUCGUCUGGCCCAACCAGACGAAUUCCCGGGGUAGACUGCCGGGGCUAGGGGA